AGUUAAUGUUAGCUGUUAAUAGUAUGAGCUAAUGAUAGGUUUAGUCUUCAAAUGGACGUGAGAUAUAAAUUAAACAUUUGACAUUAUCUCAUUCAAGAGCAUUCAUUCAUUCAUUCAACAAACAUGUUUGCCAACUAAAAAUAUAUUAUAUGUUUAUUAAAAAAAAAAGGAUGGGCUUAAAAAAAAACAAAAAACAUGUUUGCCAACUUAUUUUUUGUCAAGUAUUUAUUAAGCACCAAGGUGCAGGGAGAAAGAUGAAUAAAAUAUGGUUAGUACCUUCUCUUAAGAUGCUCAUAUCCUAGUGAGGAAAUGGAUAAUAUUUUAAAGUGAAGCAUUUUGUCAUUUUAGUCAAAACUUUUUUGUAAGAGCCGAUUCAAGUUUAGAAAACAGGAAUGCAAUUUAAUCCUACCUUAGGAUAUUUCUCCUAUAAUCCAGCUAUAAGACAGUACUGAAUACUUUUUGUUGCAUCAAGUAUUACAGGUAGUACUUGACUUUUGACUCCUAGUAAAGUCCAGUAUUUUAAUCCUUACCCACCAGCACCCAGGAAUAUAAUAUUGUAGCUAUUUUAUAUUGAAAUGCAGUGACAAGUUUCAGGGUGAAUUUUUACAAAAAAAAUUCAUCCUUCCUUCCUAUUUUUAUCAGUUUUUCUCUGGCUUGAUUUCUGAAGCACUUGAAAUGUUGAUAUAAGUAACUCUCAAUGUUUUUGGAUUUUCUGUAGUUCAUAGCAGUUAAUGACUUUAUUUGGGUUUAUCUAUACAAAAGUAAUCUUGAGUUAAAUAAACAUUAUAUAUACUGUUUGUAACAGUACAUUGUCAUGUACUUGAUUAUGUUCUCUGGUUUUUCCUUGUAUCUAUAUGAUGCAUAUCCCAAACUAAUUUCUAAGUUUCUCAGAAGCAGACAUUGCAUUCUAUUCUUCAGUACCAUUGUCUUAUUGAAUAACAUAAUGUUGUUUAGUAAUUGCCUAUUACAUGAAUGGUUAAAGGAAAAAAAAGUUAAAAAAAAAUGAAGAAUCUAAUUUUAAAGAUCUCAGUGUCCCAGCUGAGUUACAGGACAAAGAAAGUAUGUCCACAGCAAAGCAGAGAUAUUACCUGUCAACUCUUUUGCUUUAGUUAAAAAAGCUGCUUACAGCUAUGGUUAUAAAUUAAAAGAUUCUAAGAAAACCUUCUGUACUCAUACUUUUAAGGAGAUUUAGAGGACUUAAUAUCCCUCAGUAAAAUAAAUACCAAAAAUUUACAUUUUAAAUCUCUUUCCCCUAAUACAUCAAAUUAAUGUAAAAUACAAAUUAUUUAUUUUAGUAAAUGCAAGACUUCUUUUUGGCCUACAAAAGCCUAAAUUAACUGGAAUUUCCUAACCAAUACAGGUUAUGUGGUUACCCCUACAAAGAUUUAGGAUUACUUAAACAAACACAGGUGAACUAAAUCAAGUUGUGAUUAAAUAACCAAUGUCUCUCUUUAUAUAUAUUUAAACCUCAGACAAUACUGCAAAUUAUGUGACUCUACUGAAUACUCCUUUGCUAUUUGGUAAAGUUUCAAUAAUCUGUAGUUUCCUUAAGAAACUUCUAAAGACAUUAAAAUUCAGAUAUGGAAAGAAAUAAGAAGUACCUAACCACUAUAUCAUUCCUAUGUAUGUGUGUGUGUGUGUUUUGAAGAUUUUAUUUAUUUAUUUAUUUAACAGAGAGAGAGAUCACAAGUAGGCAGAGAGGCAGGCAGGGUGGGGGAGCAGAUUCCCUGCUGAGCAGAGAGCCCGAUGCGGGGCUCAAUCAAAGGACCCUGAGAUCUGCUUGACCUGAGCCGAAGGAAGAGGCUUAACUCACUGAGCCAUCCAAUUCCUAUGUGUUUUCAACCUAAGUCUCUCUCACUAUAUAUAAACACAUUUAUCCUUUAGAACACUCAAAUUAGGAUGAAAUCAGUGUGUACUUUUAAAGUACUUGAUAAAAUUAUUUUAUUUAUUUUUA
Molecule: long non-coding RNA, 1954 nt
Filed under: Mustela putorius furo (domestic ferret)
Lineage: Eukaryota; Metazoa; Chordata; Mammalia; Carnivora; Mustelidae
Description: lncRNA (ENSMPUG00000028415.1)
Source: RNAcentral